RNAcentral lists this unclassified non-coding RNA (345 nucleotides) under soil metagenome. RNAcentral describes it as "partial contains 5.8S ribosomal RNA, internal transcribed spacer 2, and large subunit ribosomal RNA". The stretch from base 1 to 120 matches the Rfam family "5.8S ribosomal RNA", at positions 35 to 154 of the family's 154-position model. The record is from RNAcentral.
GAUGAAGAACGCAGCGAAAUGCGAUAAGUAAUGUGAAUUGCAGAAUUCAGUGAAUCAUCGAAUCUUUGAACGCACAUUGCGCCCGCCAGCAUUCUGGCGGGCAUGCCUGUUCGAGCGCCAUUUCAACCCUCGACUUCCCUUUGGGGAAAUCGGCGUUGGGGACUGGCAGCAUACCGCCGGCCCCGAAAUGGAGUGGCGGCCCGUCCGCGGCGACCUCUGCGUAGUAAUCCAACCUCGCACCGGAACCCCGACGUGGCCACGCCGUAAAACACCCCACUUUCUGAACGUUGACCUCGGAUCAGGUAGGAAUACCCGCUGAACUUAAGCAUAUCAAUAAGCGGAGGA